This 467-nucleotide ribosomal RNA is filed under the name uncultured bacterium. Its description in RNAcentral is "partial 16S ribosomal RNA". It matches the Rfam family "Bacterial small subunit ribosomal RNA", at positions 28 to 506 of the family's 1533-position model. The record is from RNAcentral.
GACGAACGCUGGCGGCGUGCUUAACACAUGCAAGUCGAACGGAAAGGCCCUGCUUUUGUGGGGUGCUCGAGUGGCGAACGGGUGAGUAACACGUGAGUAACCUGCCCUUGACUUUGGGAUAACUACAGGAAACUGGGGCUAAUACCGGAUAGGAGCUCCUGCUGCAUGGUGGGGGUUGGAAAGUUUCGGCGGUUGGGGAUGGACUCGCGGCUUAUCAGCUUGUUGGUGGGGUAGUGGCUUACCAAGGCUUUGACGGGUAGCCGGCCUGAGAGGGUGACCGGCCACAUUGGGACUGAGAUACGGCCCAGACUCCUACGGGAGGCAGCAGUGGGGAAUAUUGCACAAUGGGCGGAAGCCGGAUGCAGCAACGCCGCGUGCGGGAUGACGGCCUUCGGGUUGUAAACCGCUUUCGCCUGUGACGAAGCGUGAGGGACGGUAAUGGGUAAAGAAGCACCGGCUAACUACGU